UUUCCGUAGGUGAACCUGCGGAAGGAUCAUUGUCGAAGCCUGCCCAGCAGAACGCCCCGCGAACUUGUAUAAACAACCGGGGGCAGGGGCGAUCUCGCCCCGUGCCCUCGAACGGCAGGGGGACACUCGUGCCUUCUUGUCGAACAACGAACCCCGGCGCGGUCUGCGCCAAGGAACUUCAAUUAAAGAGUGCCUCCGGUCGCCUCGGAAACGAUGCGCGUGUCGGAGGCGAAUCUUGUACAAAACCAUAACGACUCUCGGCAACGGAUAUCUCGGCUCUC
This 281-nucleotide unclassified non-coding RNA is filed under the name plant metagenome. Its description in RNAcentral is "partial contains small subunit ribosomal RNA, internal transcribed spacer 1, and 5.8S ribosomal RNA". The record is from RNAcentral.